This 89-nucleotide transfer RNA is filed under the name Candidatus Portnoyibacteriota bacterium. Its description in RNAcentral is "Candidatus Portnoybacteria bacterium tRNA-Ser". It matches the Rfam family "tRNA". Rfam says of the family: Transfer RNA (tRNA) molecules are approximately 80 nucleotides in length. Their secondary structure includes four short double-helical elements and three loops (D, anti-codon, and T loops). The record is from RNAcentral. Lineage: Bacteria; Candidatus Portnoyibacteriota.
GGAGGGGUGGCUGAAUGGCUAAGGCACCGCACUCGAAAUGCGGCUUCCGUUUUUUUUCGGAAUUGCAGGUUCGAAUCCUGUCCCCUCCG